Molecule: long non-coding RNA, 1231 nt
Filed under: Chrysemys picta bellii (western painted turtle)
Lineage: Eukaryota; Metazoa; Chordata; Testudines; Emydidae
Description: lncRNA (ENSCPBG00000027209.1)
Source: RNAcentral
AUGUGGGACGGCUUUUCACCACCACCAGCCUGGCCUGGACUCAGACCAACAGAUUUCCAUUCAGUCCUGGUGUCUCUUUGCAUCUCCUUCCUGGUGAGGAACAGCAGGGAUCACCAUUCACCUAGAGCAAGAUUCUGGUUAAGAGAUGCAGGAGAGAGCAUCCAAAUGGGAGAUAUAAUUGGGCUGUUUCAAACAGUGAAACCAGGACUCCCACGGGCUUCCAACCAGUGAAAGAGAUUUCCCAAAUGUGGAAAGUGGUUUGGAAGUGAGAGGAGGAAUUUAUGCUCACAACCUGGCAUUGUUCCAGGAAAAAGCUGGCUGUUACCAACAGGAGGUGGGUCAUCAAGCCUUCAUAAGUACAUACAUUUACCUCCCAUAUAAAGAAGAGAGGUUCCUGUUCUCAACCAGGAUAUGCAAACAAGGAAACUCACUGGAAUGAGACUGCUGGGCCCCUCAGAUUUCAACACCCGGCUGUUUUCCCAAGAGAGCUGGUUCAACCUGCUGAAUAUUUGGACAGAAGCCAGCCUACACACUGACAACUCCCUGUGACUGAAAGCGUUGGGUUUGGCCUCUCCAGUGUCACCUCAAUGUGUUUCAUAUGCGGGGGGGGGCCCUUCAGGUAGGAAGGGGGAGCUUUGCCAGCCCUAUUUGGCACCUAACACUAUGUGAUCUUUACCAGUUGCUGUAAACUAGCUCCAAGUGGCACUUUUACGCUAUCAUUUUUGCCUGUUCACAUUCAGAUGUCACUAGUCUCCAUUGCUUGUAUGGAGGUGGAUAGACUAUGUCUAAGAAGAUUUCUACUCUCUCCAGAGGUUGCUCUAUACCACAUAUAAUAGCACAUCUGGAAACCUGAUUAUAACACAGCUCCAUUUUGUAGUUUAGGUGGGACUUUAACCAUGUUCCUGAGUAAUGCUAAAGCUUUGGAUAGUCCAAAAGCUAGUCCAGGUGAGCCCUCAAUCCUGUGUAUGCAGCACUUUUGCCUGGGCCACCUUUGCUCUGCACUGUGGUGUAAUGGGAAUCCUGCCAGGGAAACAAUCAUUUUGCAUACAAAUCUGUUUACAUGAAAAAUGUUUGCAGAACUUUCAAGCACUAGGAUCAUACUGAAGCAGCACAACAGCUGUACCACACCUGUUAAUUCAUUUAUACAGCUAUCUUUCCGAAUUUGUGGCAUAGGGAUGGUGGGAGCCAUGUCCCUCGAUGUGCUGUGGCUAUAGACAGUGAAUAGAGCAUA